Molecule: ribosomal RNA, 450 nt
Filed under: uncultured bacterium
Lineage: Bacteria
Description: bacterial SSU rRNA
Rfam family: Bacterial small subunit ribosomal RNA
Source: RNAcentral
GUGAGGAAUAUUGGGCAAUGGGCGAAAGCCUGACCCAGCCACGCCGCGUGAGUGAUGAAGGCCUUCGGGUUGUAAAGCUCUGUGGGGAGGGAAGAAAAAGCGGGAGAGUAACUGCUCACGUGUUGACGGUACCUCCUUAGCAAGCACCGGCUAACUCUGUGCCAGCAGCCGCGGUAAUACAGAGGGUGCAAACGUUGCUCGGAAUUACUGGGCGUAAAGCGCGUGUAGGCUGACAUGCAAGUCGGGUGUGAAAUCCCAGGGCUCAACCUUGGAACUGCACUCGAAACUGCACGUCUUGAGUACUGGAGAGGGAAGCGGAAUUCCGGGUGUAGAGGUGAAAUUCGUAGAUAUCCGGAGGAACACCAGUGGCGAAGGCGGCUUCCUGGACAGUAACUGACGCUGAGACGCGAAAGCGUGGGGAGCAAACAGGAUUAGAAACCCGUGUAGUCC